Molecule: ribosomal RNA, 253 nt
Filed under: uncultured bacterium
Lineage: Bacteria
Description: partial 16S ribosomal RNA
Rfam family: Bacterial small subunit ribosomal RNA
Source: RNAcentral
UACGUAGGGUGCGAGCGUUGUCCGGAUUUAUUGGGCGUAAAGAGCUCGUAGGCGGUUUGUCGCGUCGGCCGUGAAAUCUCCACGCUUAACGUGGAGCGUGCGGUCGAUACGGGCAGACUUGAGUUCGGUAGGGGAGACUGGAAUUCCUGGUGUAGCGGUGAAAUGCGCAGAUAUCAGGAGGAACACCGGUGGCGAAGGCGGGUCUCUGGGCCGAUACUGACGCUGAGGAGCGAAAGCGUGGGGAGCAAACAGG